Molecule: long non-coding RNA, 98 nt
Organism: Etheostoma cragini (Arkansas darter)
Lineage: Eukaryota; Metazoa; Chordata; Actinopteri; Perciformes; Percidae
Exons: 3
Source: RefSeq, a predicted model, not a curated record
CAUAUUACCAUACAUGCUGUAAAUUGGCUGUUUUAAAUCUGUAGUGUGUAGUUUAUUUCGCCUCAUGUGGAAUUCUAAGUAAUAACAACAAAACUGUC